UACGGGGGGGGCAAGCGUUGUUCGGAAUUACUGGGCGUAAAGGGCGCGUAGGCGGCCUUCUAAGUCGGACGUGAAAUCCCUCGGCUUAACCGAGGAACUGCGUCCGAGACUGAAAGGCUUGAAUCCGGGAGAGGGAUGUGGAAUUCCAGGUGUAGCGGUGAAAUGCGUAGAUAUCAGGAGGAACACCGGUGGCGAAAGCGCUCAUCUGGCCCAAUACUGACGCUGAGGCGCGAAAGCUAGGGGAGCAAACGGG
This 253-nucleotide ribosomal RNA is filed under the name uncultured bacterium. RNAcentral describes it as "partial 16S ribosomal RNA". It matches the Rfam family "Bacterial small subunit ribosomal RNA", at positions 524 to 776 of the family's 1533-position model. The record is from RNAcentral.